GAUGAACGCUGGCGGCGUGCCUAAUACAUGCAAGUCGAGCGAACAGAUGAGGAGCUUGCUCCUCUGACGAUAGCGGCGGACGGGUGAGUAACACGUGGAUAACCUACCUAUAAGACUGGGAUAACUUCGGGAAACCGGAGCUAAUACCGGAUAAUAUAUUGAACCGCAUGGUUCAAUAGUGAAAGACGGUUUUGCUGUCACUUAUAGAUGGAUCCGCGCCGCAUUAGCUAGUUGGUAAGGUAACGGCUUACCAAGGCAACGAUGCGUAGCCGACCUGAGAGGGUGGUCGGCCACACUGGAACUGAGACACGGUCCAGACUCCUACGGGAGGCAGCAGUAGGGAAUCUUCCGCAAUGGGCGAAAGCCUGACGGAGCAACGCCGCGUGAGUGAUGAAGGUCUUCGGAUCGUAAAACUCUGUUAUUAGGGAAGAACAAAUGUGUAAGUAACUAUGCACGUCUUGACGGUACCUAAUCAGAAAGCCACGGCUAACUACGUG
This 497-nucleotide ribosomal RNA is filed under the name uncultured bacterium. Its description in RNAcentral is "partial 16S ribosomal RNA". It matches the Rfam family "Bacterial small subunit ribosomal RNA", at positions 28 to 507 of the family's 1533-position model. The record is from RNAcentral.